Molecule: ribosomal RNA, 506 nt
Filed under: uncultured bacterium
Lineage: Bacteria
Description: partial 16S ribosomal RNA
Rfam family: Bacterial small subunit ribosomal RNA
Source: RNAcentral
AUUGAACGCUGGCGGCAGGCCUAACACAUGCAAGUCGAACGGUAACAGGAAGCAGCUUGCUGCUUCGCUGACGAGUGGCGGACGGGUGAGUAAUGUCUGGGAAACUGCCUGAUGGAGGGGGAUAACUACUAGAAACGGUAGCUAAUACCGCAUAAUGUCGCAAGACCAAAGAGGGGGACCUUCGGGCCUCCUGCCAUCCGAUGUGCCCAGAUGGGAUUAGCUUGUUGGGGGGGUAACGGCUCACCAAGGCGACGCUCCCUAGCUGGUCUGAGAGGAUGACCAGCCACACUGGAACUGAGACACGGCCCAGACUCCUACGGGAGGCAGCAGUGGGGAAUAUUGCACAAUGGGCGCAAGCCUGAUGCAGCCAUGCCGCGUGUAUGAAGAAGGCCUUCGGGUUGUAAAGUACUUUCAGCGGGGAGGAAGGGAGUAAAGUUAAUACCUUUGCUCAUUGACGUUACCCGCAGAAGAAGCACCGGCUAACUCCGUGCCAGCCGCCGCAGUAA